GGAGCCUGGUAGGCUACAGUCCAUGGGGUCGCAAAGAGUCAGACAUGACUGAGUGACUUCACUUUCUUUCUUUCUUUCUAUUUGAGUACUAUUUUAGUCUUAAUUUCUAAAAUUUCCUUUGAAAGUACAAUAUCUUUAAAGUUUAAGAGGGGGGAGAAGCCCUGCCAAUCUAGAAUUGUUUACCCAGCAAAGCUAUCUUUCAAAAACCAGAGGUGAGAUAUAAUUGUAUUCAUAUGAUUGCAAGGUUCUUACCCUCUACAGGAAAUGAUAUAUCACUUGAAGGUAGACUGUGAUAAGUAUAUAAAUCCUAAAGCAACCACUAGAAUAACACACAGAGAUAUAGCUAAAAAGCCAAUAGAGGAGAUAAAAUGGCUAGCAUACACAGGCCCCAUAGCCCCUGGCUACACAGUAGCUGUGGUCUUAGUGCACAGACAGCAACUGAACUGUUCCCUCUGUGGGAACAGACAAGCUGGCCUGUCCUUUCCUGUGGCCUGUAGGUGACUCCCUGCAGUCAUCAAGAGGCUGUAUGUGUGAGGGUGGUGAAGUGCCACUGUUUCCAGAGACAGUAACCCAGGUCUGCUCGUAUGAGUCACUGCUCUCCACUCGACUUGCUUGGCUAGAACAGGGUUGUAUACCAGAGGGCCAAGAGCCUCCCAGAACCGUGCAGGACAUCCUGUGUCAUUAUCCAAAUGAGCACUGACCAUUAACUGGUCAUUGUCUCCUUUGUUUGAUUGUUAUUCAUGGAUACAUCUGUUGACACGCUCCACAAAUUUAGUGUAACCCUCACACACUAGAAAUGGUGACAGAGAGGAGAGAUUUUUCUGGUUAUAAAGAUGAGAGCUGUGUACACUUGUUAACUUGGAAGAAUUUCUUAAAUUACUGCCCAUAACCACAGAUGGUGGCAGGACCACAUGCAGGGAAAAUUAAAAUAAUUGCAUCCUCUAGGACUGGCAUUUUUCUGGGGAAAUUAAUUUUGCUUUCAAAAAACACACAGGCGAAGGUCAUUAUGAUGUAUCUAUGUAGGUUUAUGAAUUGUAACAGAGUACCCUCUGGUGGGGCAUGUUGCUGGUGGGAGAGGCUGUGUGGCGGAGUUUUGCUGUGAACCUAAAACCACCCUAAAAAUCAAAGUUUAUUUUUAAAAAUUAAUAAUAAAAAAGUAGACAAGGCACGUACUUUCUGAGUGCACUUCUUCCCAGGCGAUGUUCUUCUGAUUCUCGAUAGUAAGUCUGUUUGCCAAUUUCCCUUUCCCAGAAGCGUUUGAGCUCGUGACAGGUGUUCCGGCAGAAGACCUCCCGGCGGACGUACUGAUUGUUCAUCCCCUGAAAAAGUAAAUAUCGACUGAACCCCCACAGAACAUGCUCGCUUGUACUCUGGAAGUGUCUGUUGACCUUCACUGAACUUGGAGUCACUUGGGGAGCUUUACAAAAAAUGGAUGCCAGGGAGUCCUCCUUAAGGAAUCUAAUUUCAUCAGCCUUGAAAAUGUACUGGGUGUCAGGAUUUUUAAAACUUCCUCCUGUGAUUCUAACGUGCAAGUCAAGGUGUAAGGUGAGAAUUCAGAGGGAAAGAUGAACCCCAGUGGCUGAAAAAGACAGGGUUACAAGAACUCUCUCCGUUCACUCUACCCUGAGAAGGGCAAGAUGAACUUCCAUCCCAUGUACACUCAAGUUCAACAUCCUUUACCUUUGUGAUGAAUCUGCUGCUGUCUUGAUACAGUGUCAGGAGGAACCAGAUCAUGCAGUGGAGGUUUCCUCAUCAGGGAAAAGAAGGAGCUAAGCAUCACCUAUUCAAAAUGGUAGCAACAGCAACGCUGAUAUCACUGGACUGUAUGUAAAGGCCAGAAGAACAAUGAGCCAGGCUGGGGAACUUCAGCUGAGGAAUGUAGAUGCUACCAAGCUCAGCACCCAAUGGCUUCUGAUAAAACCCAAGUGACACUCUGGCAGAAGUGGAGCCCUUACCCGUUCAUCAACAAGUCCUUAACAGCUGGCUGCAACAAGCAUCUUGUGCGAGGGUGCUGAGUCACUUCAGUUGUGUCCGACUCUUUGCGGCCCAAUGGACCAUAGCCCGCCAGGCUCCUCUGUCCAUGGGAUUCUCCAGGCAGGACUACUGGAGUGGAUUGCCAUGCCCUCCUCCAGGGGAUCUUCCUGACCCAGGGACUGAACCCAGGUCUCUUACGUGUCCUGCAUUGACAGGUGAGUACUUUACUCCUAGCGCCACCUGGCUGGCAGGAUCUGCUUCCUGACUGAGGGUCAGACCCACACCCCCUGCCGCAGAAGCACAGCAUCUUAACCACUGGACCACCAGGGAAAUCCCACAACAAGUAUCUUAAUUUUUGCUGAAUCUGUUUGUGAAAAUACUAUCCCGUUGUUGUUUGGAUUUGCAUUGUUAUGUUUACUGAAUGCUUGUAUGUCUCUUCCUAUGAACUGGCAGGUGGGUCUGAGAGGGCAUUUGAACUGGAGUUUCCCUCAUUUUGUCAACCCUGUUGUUAACGACCAGUUUUCUUGUCUUUCACCAGCCCCUCUCCUUAUGCCUUAUCCUCCACACCAGGAGAUCUGGAAACCUGGUCUUCUGGAAAUCUCACCUCUGCAAACCUCUAGAGCAGUGUCUGUCUGUCUGUGCUGGUUUCCUUUUGGCUGAAUCUUGUUGUCUGCCGCCUCUGUGGCUGACACAUCACCUUUCCGCCUUACUUUCUAAAUGAGAAGGUGGGGUGGGUGUGGACUAGGUCUUUGAGAAGCUCCAAAGGAAAACAACUUGCGCCCCCUAGCCUGAGCUAGGAAAUACAACAAAAAAUACUCCCCGCAGACAACAGUGAAGGAAAAAAUAAGUGAAUCUUAAGUACUCUAAGCCGUGCUGAAUUCUAGGCAACUUAUUCAAGAGAGGUCACAAUGUACAAGACGAAAUAGUCUUGAUGCAGUUACCAGAAACCAUGUUAGGGUAGGGGGAAUUCUGAUUUAGACUUCUAAACAUGGCUAUGGUUUAGAAUUCGCACCAAAAUUUUUCUCUUUUCAGUCAAAUUAGUCAAAUAGUUACUCUGCUCAGCACACUAGAGGAGACAGGAUCUCCUAGAUUGGACUCCUGUUCCUUUCUCACUUCCCCCAGAAAAGAUGAGCCCAGUAAUGUAUUCCAAGUACCAUUUUAGUGUUAUCAAAAAAACUGCUGAUGGGGAAGGAGCCAUCAUUUCCUGAUGGCCCCGUGACCAGGUCAAGGUCAGUGGCCCCGGACAGACAGACAGAUAGAUGGGCAGAUAGACUUUUUGAAGGGACUUGGGAAGGUGAGCUGGGGUCCCACUUGGUUUCACAAGAUGUGGAGGAUCUCAUUUUAAAGUGCUUCUUAAGUGGAUUUUGUAUCAGAUUGCAUUCAGGCAUGCUUCACAGCUCUUAAUGGUUUUGAAAUGGGUGAAAUGCAAGUGGAGGGACGGAGGGAGGCCAAAGUGCAAAACCCAGGCUGUAUCAGAGAUGGGUUAAAGUGCUCCAGGGAGAAGAUUUCCUGUAUGCAAAUGACCCUGGGCACUUUGAGGUGCUCCCCACUCUGGAAACAGUUGAUCCAGGAUAGAUAUCUGAAGUACGGGAACUGUGAAUAAAUGAUGUUCUACUAAGCCACUGAAUUUGUGAGAAUUUGAUAUAGCAAUAUAAGAUGAAUAGGUAAGAAUUUUUUAAUGAAAUAUGUUUUACACUAAUAAAAGUCUACAAGUAAUUAGGGUUACAGGUUAGUGAAUUAUUCCAAAGUCAGAACCAUGGAACCACAACCCAGGUCAAGAAGAAAAAUAUUACUAGAACUCCAAAAGUCCACUUCCUGCUUUUUCACAACCACCACUCACUCCCUCUUCCUCAGAGCUUUUACUUUUUAAAUUUCUAAUCCCAAAGGUUGGGUUUCCAUGGUUUUGACCUUUUUAUAACCAUCAGCAUGCAUGUAUAUCUGCUUCUUUUUGCUCUUCCUUGGUGAGAGUAAUCCAUAUUGUUUGUAGAAGCUUGUUCAUAUUCAAUUGCUGUAUAGUGUUAUUUAACUUAUAUGCAGAGUACAUCAUGAGAAACGCUGGGCUGGAAGAAACACAAGCUGGAAUCAAGAUUGCCGGGAAAAAUAUCAAUAACCUCAAAUAUUCAGAUGACACCACCC
Molecule: long non-coding RNA, 4110 nt
Organism: Bubalus bubalis (water buffalo)
Lineage: Eukaryota; Metazoa; Chordata; Mammalia; Artiodactyla; Bovidae
Exons: 6
Source: RefSeq, a predicted model, not a curated record